CAGGCCUAACACAUGCAAGUCGAGCGGGCCCUUCGGGCUCAGCGGCGGACGGGUGAGUAACGCGUGGGAACGUGCCUUCUGGUCUGGAAUAACCCUGGGAAACUAGGGCUAAUACCGGAUACUCCCUUUUGAGGGAAAGAGUUUACUGCCGGAAGAUCAGCCCGCGUCUGAUUAGCUAGUUGGUGGGGUAACGGCCUACCAAGGCGACGAUCAGUAGCUGGUCUGAGAGGAUGAUCAGCCACACUGGGACUGAGACACGGCCCAGACUCCUACGGGAGGCAGCAGUGGGGAAUAUUGGACAAUGGGCGCAAGCCUGAUCCAGCCAUGCCGCGUGAGUGAUGAAGGCCUUANGGUUGUAAAGCUCUUUUAUCCGGGACGAUAAUGACGGUACCGGAGGAAUAAGCCCCGGCUAACUUCGUGCCAGCAGCCGCGGUAAU
This 437-nucleotide ribosomal RNA is filed under the name uncultured bacterium. RNAcentral describes it as "bacterial SSU rRNA". It matches the Rfam family "Bacterial small subunit ribosomal RNA", at positions 43 to 524 of the family's 1533-position model. The record is from RNAcentral.